AGUCACCCUGACUGUUGAGGU
RNAcentral lists this unclassified non-coding RNA (21 nucleotides) under Chlamydomonas reinhardtii. RNAcentral describes it as "small RNA Cre_0623". Lineage: Eukaryota; Viridiplantae; Chlorophyta; Chlorophyceae; Chlamydomonadales; Chlamydomonadaceae. The record is from RNAcentral.